AAAGAUCAAAUACAAGCCAUCAAGAAACACACCCAGCAUUAGUGUCUGCUGUUCCCACCUAUGAACUGGAAACACUGGUGAUCACCCAGACCUCCUGUUUUCAUUGCAAACUUUACCUUGUGUACUUCUGUUUAGCUCUGAAUUCAGAGCUGAGCUUUAUUUAUUUUAGUCUUCACUUGAAAUAGGUGGUUCUUGUGUUUUGUGGUUGCUUUUUUAAUGCAGGCACGUAGAUGAAAUGGAUUGUUAGGCUCAGUUGUAGUUAGAUCUGAUCAGUUCAGAUCAGUUGAAGUGGUCACGGUAUGAAUUUUCUUUUCUUUAUAAAGAAUGAAGGAUUCUAGUUUCAACAAACAGCUAGUAGAGUGAAAUAUUUUUAAUAAAUGUACCUUCUUGCCAUCACAGAACAAAAGCACUUCCAUUAAAUUCAAAUGCAGAAUCCCAACAGUUUUAAAUUUAGUUUCAAUGCUCUGCAACUGUGAGAAGCAAAAGGAAAAAUGAUUCUUUUCACUAAGCAUAAGCUUAGAGCACAGAUAAGUAACAUUUAACUUCUCUUAAAGUCUGUGGGCAACUUACAGUGUUACUUUGCUGGGGUGCUUUUACUUUUUCAGUGAGUCUAGCUGUCCACAAUGAACAUAUUUCUUACACACUACCUCUGUAGAAAAACAUGAAAAAAUCUUUCCUGUUCUCCCCAGCAGCUUAGUUCCCCUGCUCUUGCCAUGGUGAGACAAGCCAUGUCCUUUCUCCAUGGACAGGAGUAAGACCUACACAAGGUACUAAACUGCAAGGAAAAGGGAAGCUACACAGACUCUCUCCUCUAUCUGUCUAAUAAGAAAGCUUAAGUCUUUCAGCACCGAUUCAGACAUGCUCAUUUUAUUACCAGUUUCUUUAGUUCAAAAACACCUUCUGACAAAAAAGCCGAUGCACUAUGCUGUGAUGCCUCCCCAGCUUAUUUAUGUUGGACACUGUCAAGUGAUGGUUGCCACAGGGACUUACAUUGCUCAUGAUGCCUUAUGCACAUGGCAAAUACCUUGACAUUUACUGACUUCCACCUCCAUUCUAAGAUCCUGACUGCCCACACUGCUCUAUGCAUUUACACUUGUUUCUGUAGAAGGAGAAUUAAUUCAUGGUCACAACUCAUCAUACAGUCAAGGCUGCUAUGAGGAAUUGUGGUGGAGACAGAAGUAGCUGCUUAGGAAUCAGGAAAUGCUUACAGCUGAUCUGCAACAAAAGGAUGGAUGUGUUUGUGCAUGUCCAGUGAGUUUUUGUGAGGCGUACACCAAAAACUCAAAAGACUUUUUUUAGUCUCAGCAGUUUGAGGAUGUUAGUUUUCUGGAGGACCUAGUAUAUUUGCUGUAAGCUCUUGCACCUUCACUGGAAGAAUGGAAUAGGUGAAUUUUUGACAUUGUGCCCCUCUACUUGAAAUGUUUCAGUCUCUGCGGUUAAAGGGAUACCAAAAUCCAUACUCUUCCAUAAUCUAACUAAAAAUCCAUCUAAUUUGAGAAGCCACAUGAUUCUAAUAUCAAAAUAGAUUGUAGGUAAGGAUCUUUCAGACCAUCUCUACAUAUCAUCAAGGAAAAAGAGCAAAAGCCCAUUUUUUAAAUCUUCUUUUGCAAGUCACCCUUAAGGCCGACUAGGUGGGCCCAGAGGCCUCUAUCAUUAUAGUUAAUCUUGGAGUAACAGCUUGAGAGACCAACCUGACCAAAAAUCAGCCUGCUAAGCCUGAAUUUAUUAAAUGACAAAAUGUGUAAUCUUUAGUAGUCUGCUUAACACACUCAUAUUUAUACCUGCUUAUUUACAGCUCACAUCUGUGCAGAACUUGUCACUUAUGCUCAUUUUGUUAGCAAAACAACAGACCAAGCGUAUCAUCUGUGACUGGCACAGAGACUUAACAGAAAGUUAAAGUUUUUUUUAACCUUGUGUAAUACAAAGUUCAACAGGUUCUUGACAUUAGUAUUAAGGAUUAUAGCUGUCUUGUUCACUCAUACUUUUAGACCAACAAGUCAAGGUUCUCUUCUCUGGCUUCUGCUAUGUUUCAGCUGGCAACCCUCCAAGUAAGCAGGAAAAUCACAUCUAGAUGUACACUAUGCAACCUUCACAUUCAUAGAGGAUUCUUCCUUAUCUGCAGAGAUAAACUGCUAAUAUUGUCACACAGGUUACAACAUGCAUGCAUGGCUGCUUACAGAUGCUAUGCUACCUUUUUUUGCAGGUGGGCACUGUUAAGCUUUGAGGGUAAUGAGGACUGCAAGCCAUGUUAAAGAGUAUGUUCGAAUUGACAAAAGAAAGUCUGAAAAAAUAAAUUUGGAUAGGCUUAAAGAAAAGUUCAACUAACUUUGGAAAGUCAGAUUUUUUAAAUGCUUGUUUUCAGCCAACAUGAGCACGAGACGUUUUGGCUCACUGGGUUAAAUGCCCAAGAUGCAAGGAGUCAAAUCCUCUUCACUUCCAGCAAAUCACCCUUGUUGCAAGCACAAUGCUAGAAAUACUGGGACAGAGCUCUAGCUUGUACUUCUGUUCCGUAAGAGCUUGUUUUAUAGGCCAUAAAGAGUUAAUAUAAGUUUUCAUUUACUGUGUCUGCCCCUGCUGCUUAAUCCCCUGCUAAACGAUUUAUUCAGAUGUGUAUGGCCAGUGAGCAGGAAAAGCAUGAGUUCUGCACAGGCAUGCCGAAGGUGGAAGAAAGGGCGUUCUCCAGUCAAAGUCAAAAGCCCCAUCGAGGCCAAACUUGUGGCCUGUUGUGCCUGCUGCCUUGUCGUGUAAUGCAGUGACCUACUUAUUUGUACAACCUCAUGGUUCUUUUUGCCCCACUUUCAUACCCUUCUUGACACCUGAACCAAGCAAUGCAUUGAACAGCAUCUCUGAGUUUAACCUUAUUAAUAUAAAUGUUAAAGAAUAGCGAACUGAAACUGUCUAGAGGUAGCCGCUUAGCACAACUUAUAUAAAACUUGCUUAGCAUGAGUAGCUAAAUUUGCCAAAGCGUUAGGCCGCACUUAGAUAAAAUAAUGAACUUUUACUUAGUCCAGUAAGAAAGGGGGCCUCAGAGCUGGUUCAAGCUAGGAAGAUAAGGAAGGUACAAGCAGUCUGCAUUCCUGCAUCUCACACUCGGAAAGGGAGGGUGUCAAGGCUUUGAAAUAAGACCAGUGCAGGGCGUUAGGACCUUGAGGGACAAAGCCUUAGCUCACUGCUGGGGCAGUGUUAACUGUUAUGAUUUAGAAUCACCUCCUCCUCCUCCUCAGGACCUUGCGACACAACAGUAAGACCUGACAAAAACUGACGUACAACCAUCAUCAGAGACCGCAAAAAACAAAAAUAAGGAGAAAAACAGCUUAGCUCAGAAUGACAAUGAGACCCAGUGAGGAGCAGGAGACCCAAGACCAAAAAAUUACUAUUGGUCUAACUACCACGUGAGGGGUGGGAAAUGUAAGUUGAAACAACUAUAAUUGCCCAGGAUUUGUUUAUGUUAGGGUCCCUCUUCGGAGGCACCCAGCUCGAGCUGUAAUUACGGCAUGCGCGUCAUUAAUAUUUAAUUAUUUAAUUUGUUUUGAUUUGGCUCUGAACUUUACUUGCGGGAACCUAGGGUCGAGCCCUGUUAUGGUGGCUGACAAGCCUAAUUUCCAUAACAAUAAAGACUAUAUAAGCUGCUGGGCUGGGCCAGAUGGGAAGUCUGUGUAGGCUAGCAUCCCAUCUCUGAAAGCAACCAGUGGUGGAUGUAAAAUAAGAGAGUAAGAACAAGGCAAGCAAAAAUAGUGGCGUUUCCCUGACACUCUCAUGGGUUCCAAAGGUUGGGGUUUUUUUGUCUUCAUUAGCCCCCACUAGAUUUUUCUUCCAUGAAUUUAUCCAACUAUCGCUUUCAGCCUGUACCUCCUCCGGUUUGUUCCUGAACCCAUCACUGCUAGAUUCAUUUGGAGAGCCCUGCAGAUAGUGGGAGAGACUGAAUAGAAAACAUUUAUUUGCUGUCUUCACGCUGCUUGUCGUUUCAUUGAUCCUUAUCGUACCCCUUAUUCAAACUGAAAAGCCUGGUUAGUCUUUCCUUGCGUACAGGUUAUACAAUACCUUUGAUCUAAUUGCCCUCUGUACCUUUUCCACUUCUGCUAUAUCCUUUUUGAAAUGGGGGAACCUGGACUACACAUGGUAUUAAAAAUGCAGGUGUGCCACUAAGGCCUAUGCUGACAUGAGUGUUUGCUGCAUUUUCAUUGCCCUCCUAAUCAUUUCUAGUAUUCUUUUUCUUGCAUAGUACAAUGUUCCAAGACAUGUUUGCAUAGUUUAUUUUAGCACCAUAUUUUCUUUCCUUAGAGGAAAAAGCUGGGUCAGAGCUCAUCACUAUAUAUGUAAUUUAAGAUUACACAUUUUUGUCAUGUAUGUCACUUCACAUGUGUUGCUCUGAAUUUCAUUUUGAUAGACUUAUCUUUCCACAUGUUUUAACGCAUUUUGAAAACAUUGGUUAGGCUUGAACGUGCUUAGGGAAGACAGUCCAGUAUUAUAUACCUCCUAAAGAAGGCAGGCAGGGACACAGGAUUCAAGCAACUUGUCUGAAGCCAGAUGGGAAAUCAGUGGCAGAGCUGGGAAUAGACUGCAGAGUCCAAAUCCCUACCUGAGUCUAACCAGCAGACUCUUCCUGUAGCAUACAGGUAGCCUGAGAUACAAAUUAUGCUUCCAGUAAAGAAAAGGCCUACCUGUUCCUGUAUGUAUAAUGGCAAUGUUUAGGAUCACAAUGAAGAUUUAAACCCUUUUGUGCUUUUCUCAUCUCCAGCACUUUGUCUGUCCCUGCUCUGGGUUUUAAGAUCCUUCCAGCCUUUCAAAACAUUCAUUUACUUGUGCUCCUGAGGAAGUCUGUUUAGGCUACAACCAGCUGCCUGGCAGAGUAUAUUUAUAAACUCUGCUUUGCUAGCAAAGCUAUUUCUUCUGUUAUGGCUCACCCAGGAAAAGGCCAAUCAGUGUUAUGUCAUUUCGUAAGGAACGUGCAGGCUCCAUACACAUAUGCAAGUAGAGGACUGUAAGCAGACCUCCCCACGUAAGGGAUUGCUGAUCAAUUAGAAACAGAGUAAAGAGUAAAUGGUAGGCAACAUAAACACAUAUCUUGAUCAGAAAGAAAGCAGAGGAAUGCUUUAUUGGAGUCUACUAUGUCUUGGGAAUAGGAAGUGUGACCUUAUUUAGGUUUAGUUUGUUUCCUUAAAAUCUUUAACAUGACAGGUUUUUUCUUCUUUUUUAAUUAAAGAAAAGCUCUGAAAAGGCUGUGGAGUCAGCAUUAGUCAAUUAAUCCAUAUAUAUAUACAUCUAGUCAACAUACAGAAGUAUGUAUGUUUGCAAUAAUGACAUGAAUAGGCAAUUCCAGUUGGCUAGCUGUUUGCUUACAUGGGAAGUCUGUUGUUCUUUCUCUUGGAAUUGGCGGUGUAGCAACUGGUGGUGUCUAAGGACACAGGUUCUGCCUACCAUCUACCAUCUGUCUACAGGAAGUUAGUAAAGUGAAUUUAUUGGAUCCAUUUUUCUUCAAAAGGAUCAGGACCAUCUGAAGACUCAGAAACAUUAAUUUAUCUAGUUAGAGAGGGCUGCAUUGGAAGACUCUCAUUCUGUGUGAGGUAUCUCUGUCCUAACUUCCAAGAUGCAAAGAAUCACCACACUCAGGAAAGCUGGAAAAAAACGGAGUUGCAAUCCCCUGGAAAAUUAAGCUUCAGGUACUUGGCUUUUCUAGUCACUGCUUAUAUGUAAUAAGGAAAAUAGAUCUUUUUCAUAUAUAACUUAUUGUUAAAUUGAUUUAGUCACCGUACUGAUGUACUAUGCAGGAAACUUUUUUUUCAGUUCUAUGUUGCUAAAUGCAAUUCCAGGUAGCUACCCAGCAGGGUUGCUAUCAGUGUGUAAACAAGUACUGAGUAUGUUGUUGCAUAUUCUUUCCUUGGUGCUGGGCUAAUUUUUGACUGUGUGUGUUGGAGGUAAAUUCUACUACAAACUGAAACACAAGCAGGAACCCUCUAAAGCUUCACACAGCACAGAUCUGGAGUGCUGGUCUCCCGUCAUCUCCAUGGCCGCAGCCAGGAUCGCUCAAGCAUGAACAGCUCUGUCUGUCAAGUCCCAUCACAAAGGCUAGCAAAACACUGCAGGACAGAGAUGAUGGCUGAUACGGGUGGGAAAGGAGCAAUGCACUAGUGCUGCGUUCCAUCUGCUAUCACCAUCAUGAGAGUCGAGAGCUGAGCAGCGGAGCAGAGCCCUGCGUUACCAGCGGCGCAGAAAGGUGCCCGCGGCCGUCCCGUUGUCUCGUGAUCAAGCCGGUCCUCACAAGGGAGCUGCUCUAACCACGGACAGCGCUUGAAAUGCCGCACGCAACACCACAGAUGCCGUGCAGCGAAGGUGCCAUUAGCCCCGGCGUCGUUAAUGGGUCCGGCUUCUGCAGGCUGGCCGGGGGCUGCUGCCACGCACUGCCUUUUCACGGGUACACGCGAUUCACGACUACUGCAGUUCUCACUUCAGGAUCUCACCACGCGGCUGGCAGAGCCAGGCCUCUGCUGCUCGCCUUUCUGACCGCCGCUCUCUCCUCGUCACAGCCAGCUGUGCGUUUUAAAAGUCUCCUCUCAUAUUCCACAUCGCUGAAGGUUUUAGCAGGUCCUGCAUCUGCCCCUUGCUCACUUCAGCCCUGUGGUUUUGAACUGCUUUUGAUAUGGCAGCGUGAGCAUCUGGGGACCCCAGAAAGACACAGAAAGGAUCCACUCAGCAUUAUCUCUGUGCACCUAUCUGCCAUCCUGAUGAACGUGUGUUAGGGAGGAUAUGAACUUCAGAACAGUUCACCUAGUGCUUUUAAAGACAACUCACGUAAAAAAAACCUGAGACAAAUAUUUAAUCCAAAUACUCGAAAUAGCGCUGAGACAGUCAGAACAGACUUUAAAAAAAUUCAAAGGUAAUUAUUGACCUGACAGCUUAUCAGUCCCUGUCCCUCCAAAGGAGGGCUGCAGAAAACUACCUAAAGACACAGCAACAGAAUUUCUGCUCCCUCCAUCAAACAAUUUUUCAAAACUAAAUAUCAGCACAGAUUAAAAUAUUUGAAGAAAAAAAAGUUCUAGGCUUUGUAACUACUGAGUGUGCCAAAUACUCAAGACAAGACUUAGAGCAGGAUUUUCAGUCAACCAGAAAGAAUAAUUAGAAGUUUUGUUUUUAAAGUUUGGUGACAUUUCCAUCAUGUUAUUUUACUUUAGAAAUCUGCAGAAACAUGAAACAGGCUAAUGGAGGUCAAGCAAGUACCUCCUUUUUCAUUCUGUUUUUAUUAUGGGAAAGAAAGAAAGCGAAGGAAGGAGACAUAGACCAGUGGAAAAUGGAGACUUUGCAAAGCUACAGGUUUGCUUCUCGUGGUGGCUCUGGGAAAGUCCCCGGUGCUGUUUCUCAUUUUCCAGUGAGAAGCAGCACGAGGAACUCCUAGGGUAUCCUCAGGGAGAGCAGGGGUAGUAUUUUAAACAGAAGACGCAGAAAUCAUCACCACCUAUAAGCGACAACAGUUUCACUUGGCAGUUUAUGUUGGAUCAAUCUUAGAAAGUUCCUUAGUCUUCUAAUGAACUGUAGUAUUUCUGUACCAAACUAGCAAGAUGAACUAGAGCCUUACUUGGGAAAUCCUGCAGCAGUGGUGCUCCCCCCCAGCCCGUUCCCUGUGCCAUCAGAUGCAACCGUACAAAUAGCCAAACACUGUCACACCGUUCCUUCCCCCCACCGGUCAAUAGACUGUUGGAACUUGUUGACCAUUUAGUUUUUGGUCCAAAAAAAGACCAUGUAGUCCUUUGGCAUUAAAAAAAAAAAAAAAAAAAGACUUCAAGAUAGCAUUCAUACCAAAAUACCCAAAUGUUUGUGCUUUUCCCCUGUGUUUUCUGGGGGAACCUGAUGUGACUGAGAGUUGAGAAUGUCUGAAGUUUUAUGCUGAAUCCUGUGCACAGCUGCAACCAGCGCUAGUGAAUUUGUCUUUGUUUGAACCACUGCCUACAAUAAAUCUGGGAUUUGUAGUCUA
Dromaius novaehollandiae (emu) is the source of this 7966-nucleotide long non-coding RNA. RefSeq lists it as uncharacterized. Lineage: Eukaryota; Metazoa; Chordata; Aves; Casuariiformes; Dromaiidae. The record is from RefSeq and is a predicted model, not a curated record. The transcript has 2 exons.